RNAcentral lists this ribosomal RNA (301 nucleotides) under uncultured bacterium. RNAcentral's name for it is "partial 16S ribosomal RNA". It matches the Rfam family "Bacterial small subunit ribosomal RNA", at positions 509 to 809 of the family's 1533-position model. The record is from RNAcentral.
CAGUCGCCACGGUAAUACGAAGGGUGCAAGCGUUACUCGGAAUUACCGGGCGUAAAGCGUGCGUAGGUGGUGGUUUAAGUCCGCUGUGAAAGCCCUGGGCUCAACCUGGGAAUUGCAGUGGAUACUGGGUCACUAGAGUGUGGUAGAGGAUAGUGGAAUUUCCGGUGUAGCAGUGAAAUGCGUAGAGAUCGGAAGGAACAUCUGUGGCGAAGGCGACUAUCUGGGCCAACACUGACACUGAGGCACGAAAGCGUGGGGAGCAAACAGGAUUAGAUACCCGCGUAGUCCCUGUCUCUUAUAA